Non-coding RNA from Triticum aestivum (bread wheat), 197 nucleotides. NCBI's taxonomy places the organism in Eukaryota, Viridiplantae, Streptophyta, Magnoliopsida, Poales, Poaceae. The record is from Rfam.
AUACCUUUCUCGGUAUUUUGGCUAAGAUCAAAUGUGGCAUCCGUUCUUUAUCAAUUUAAUAUCUGAUAUGUGAACCAUGUGUUACAACAAUAUUAAAUUUAUUUUGUAUGGGAGAGGAUCCACCAUGGUAGCUUGCAGCCGGGGCUCUAACGUGCCGCCCAGGUGUUGUACUAUUGCUUGGGCCUGGCACAUCCCAA